Molecule: non-coding RNA, 213 nt
Filed under: Clostridium amylolyticum
Lineage: Bacteria; Bacillati; Bacillota; Clostridia; Eubacteriales; Clostridiaceae
Description: T-box sequence
Rfam family: T-box leader
About the family: Uncharged tRNA acts as the effector for transcription antitermination of genes in the T-box leader family. T-boxes are found upstream of many aminoacyl-tRNA synthetase genes and some amino acid biosynthetic genes usually in Gram-positive bacteria. The anticodon of a specific tRNA base pairs to a specifier sequence within the T-box motif, and the NCCA acceptor tail of the tRNA base pairs to a conserved bulge in the T-box antiterminator hairpin.
Source: RNAcentral
AUAAAGACUGUGAAUGAGAGAGUAGAUAUAAGUUAAUUUAAACAGGGAAUGAAAGCCAAAGAUUGAGAGCUUUCUUAAAGGUACUUAUAUUGAAGUUCACUCAGGAGUUCUAACUGCGAAUUUAUAGUAGUGGUUAGCGGUAAAAACCGUUAUUUUUAUUGAGAGAGCAACAACUGCUAAUUAGGGUGGUACCGCGGAUAAUCCGUCCCUUUU